UUUGGCCUACGGGGGGCAGCAGUGAGGAAUAUUGGUCAAUGGCCGCAGGGCUGAACCAGCCAAGUCGCGUGAGGGAUGACGGUCCUAUGGAUUGUAAACCUCUUUUGUCAGGGAGCAAAGGGCGCCACGUGUGGCGCUUUGCGAGUACCUGAAGAAAAAGCAUCGGCUAACUCCGUGCCAGCAGCCGCGGUAAUACGGAGGAUGCGAGCGUUAUCCGGAUUUAUUGGGUUUAAAGGGUGCGUAGGCGGUCCGUUAAGUCAGCGGUAAAAUUGCGGGGCUCAACCCCGUCGAGCCGUUGAAACUGG
RNAcentral lists this ribosomal RNA (305 nucleotides) under uncultured bacterium. RNAcentral's name for it is "bacterial SSU rRNA". It matches the Rfam family "Bacterial small subunit ribosomal RNA", at positions 333 to 636 of the family's 1533-position model. The record is from RNAcentral.